UUUCCGUAGGUGAACCUGCGGAAGGAUCAUAAUUGAAAUAAACCUGAUGGGUUGUUGCUGGUUCUCUAGGGAGCAUGUGCACGCCCUGUCAUCUUUAUAUCUCCACCUGUGCACUUUUUGUAGACCCUUCCAGGUCUAUGUUGCUUCAUUUACCCCAAUGUAUGUUAAUAGAAUGUUGUGCCUAUAUAAUAUAUACAACUUUCAGCAACGGAUCUCUUGGCUCUC
This 225-nucleotide unclassified non-coding RNA is filed under the name plant metagenome. Its description in RNAcentral is "partial contains small subunit ribosomal RNA, internal transcribed spacer 1, and 5.8S ribosomal RNA". The record is from RNAcentral.